Pimephales promelas (fathead minnow) is the source of this 869-nucleotide non-coding RNA. The record is from RefSeq and is a predicted model, not a curated record. NCBI's taxonomy places the organism in Eukaryota, Metazoa, Chordata, Actinopteri, Cypriniformes, Leuciscidae.
CAAAAUAAGCUGCAUAAACUCAGAGAUUUUGUUUUGUUGGUAGAAAGCUGUUGAAAAAAAUCGCAUGCAUCUGAAAGAGGUGCAGAAGAUUUGUAAAUGUCUUGAUUUCGGAACGAAAGAAUAAAGAAGAUCUCUGUGAGUGCUCAUUACUGAGUCAUAUGCAGGAUUUGGAGACUUGAUUUAUGUUUUAUGAUAUGAUGGGAAUGACCGACUGACAAUGAUGGUCAACACAACAUAAGGUGGAUGAGAUGGAAACAGUGGGUGGAGCUGAUCCGCAUCUCAUCCAUUUCUUGAGUUUUCCCCAGAAACACAGAAGAGGGACCGAAAGGAUGAUCACUUUAAAGCAAAACUAAACCGUGGCACAGUCAAAAAGUAAAAAUAGCUCAAGUUGUUGUUUCAUCUUUAUCUGCAGUGCUGCUAAAUAUAGAAUCAGCAAAGAGUGGAGACAUCAUUGCUUUCGCUCUGGGUUUGCAUUGUGUUACCUGUAAUUGAUCAUAUUUCUCAAGAAAAAUAAUUAAAACUGCCUUAUCCCCUUCUUUCAUGACUGAAGGAAACAAAUGACAUAAACGUAAUAUACACAAAAGUUUGACUUUUCACUUUCUCUAACUUUUCUAGCAUUUUUUAAAAUAUAUAUUUAGUUGAUUUAUGACAAGUUAUACCAUUUGCACUGUAUUAUACUUAUAACAGAAUGUAAUUAAUAACACAAUAAGAUCUUGACACUCAGACAGUAACAUGGUUUGCUAAAGGACAAAUGAGUCUUUACCACAAGUGUUCUGUCAUCAUGAUAUUUUUACUGUUGUUAAAUCUUUUUUGAGAUCUUUAUGGAUUACUAGAUCUUUCUUAAGAUUAAAACUGCACUUCAUAUUUUC